RNAcentral lists this unclassified non-coding RNA (390 nucleotides) under Hevea brasiliensis (rubber tree). Lineage: Eukaryota; Viridiplantae; Streptophyta; Magnoliopsida; Malpighiales; Euphorbiaceae. The record is from RNAcentral.
CAUGGACUCACAAAAGGGUCUUUAGCUUUUCUUAAUUACCCUGCACAGAUCAUGUUUAAAUCCACCAAGGUUCUGCCAGUGAUGGUGAUGGGGUCCUUUAUUCCAGGACUGAGGCGGAAAUAUCCAGCUCAUGAAUACUUAUCAGCACUACUUUUGGUUGUGGGGUUGAUCCUUUUCACCUUAGCAGAUGCACAAACUUCCCCUAAUUUCAGUAUCAUUGGUGUUGUGAUGAUAUCUGGUGCUUUAAUCAUGGACUCCUUUCUUGGUAAUUUACAAGAAUCUUUACCAUGAAUCCUGAAACUACACAGAUGGAGAUGUUGUUUUGUUCAAGUGUAGUGGGUUUGCCUUUCUUGAUCCCUCCCAUGAUUUUCACCGGAGAGUUAUUCAGGG